This 433-nucleotide ribosomal RNA is filed under the name uncultured bacterium. Its description in RNAcentral is "partial 16S ribosomal RNA". It matches the Rfam family "Bacterial small subunit ribosomal RNA", at positions 29 to 507 of the family's 1533-position model. The record is from RNAcentral.
AGCGAACGCUGGCGGCAGGCCUAACACAUGCAAGUCGAACGAACUCUUCGGAGUUAGUGGCGGACGGGUGAGUAACACGUGGGAACGUGCCUUUUGGUUCGGAAUAACUCAGGGAAACUUGUGCUAAUACCGAAUGUGCCCUUCGGGGGAAAGAUUUAUCGCCAUUAGAGCGGCCCGCGUCUGAUUAGCGAGUUGGUGAGGUAACGGCUCACCAAGGCGACGAUCAGUAGCUGGUCUGAGAGGAUGACCAGCCACACUGGGACUGAGACACGGCCCAGACUCCUACGGGAGGCAGCAGUGGGGAAUCUUGCGCAAUGGGCGAAAGCCUGACGCAGCCAUGCCGCGUGAAUGAUGAAGGUCUUAGGAUUGUAAAAUUCUUUCACCGGGGACGAUAAUGACGGUACCCGGAGAAGAAGCCCCGGCUAACUUCGUG